This 476-nucleotide ribosomal RNA is filed under the name uncultured bacterium. Its description in RNAcentral is "bacterial SSU rRNA". It matches the Rfam family "Bacterial small subunit ribosomal RNA", at positions 30 to 501 of the family's 1533-position model. The record is from RNAcentral.
AUUGAACGCUGGCGGCAUGCCUUACACAUGCAAGUCGAACGGCAGCACGGGAGCAAUCCUGGUGGCGAGUGGCGAACGGGUGAGUAAUAUAUCGGAACGUGCCCAGUCGUGGGGAUAACGUAGCGAAAGCUACGCUAAUACCGCAUACGAUCUAUGGAUGAAAGCGGGGGAUCGCAAGACCUCGCGCGAUUGGAGCGGCCGAUAUCAGAUUAGGUAGUUGGUGAGGUAAAGGCUCACCAAGCCGACGAUCUGUAGCUGGUCUGAGAGGACGACCAGCCACACUGGGACUGAGACACGGCCCAGACUCCUACGGGAGGCAGCAGUGGGGAAUUUUGGACAAUGGGCGCAAGUCUGAUCCAGCAAUGCCGCGUGCAGGAUGAAGGCCCUCGGGUUGUAAACUGCUUUGUACGGAACGAAACGGUGAGCUCUAAUACAGUUUGCUAAUGACGGUACCGUAAGAAUAAGCACCGGCUAAC